UCUGGAGGGCAGGGUUACAGAUCUAGAAACUAAUCCUAGUCGGUUACAAUUGCCAUGGAUAAUUCGAUAUCAAUUCCUAUUCCAACCGACUAGAAUCCUGCUUGAUCUCCACAUCUCGUUUCCUUGCGCGAAACUCCAGGUUGUCGGAUCAAGCCUUGUACUCGUCUCGUAAUGGGCCAAGCCUCCUGGCCGAAGUCUAGCCGUAAGGGUAUAGGGGUUUAUACCCCCACAGCUAGUCCCCGAGCACCAUGUAUUAUGAUGUAACACGCCGUCUUGAGCUUCUUCGAUCAGUGAGGCUUGACGU
RNAcentral lists this long non-coding RNA (304 nucleotides) under Sorghum bicolor (sorghum). Its description in RNAcentral is "long non-coding RNA (SBIC_LNC003050)". The record is from RNAcentral. Lineage: Eukaryota; Viridiplantae; Streptophyta; Magnoliopsida; Poales; Poaceae.